Molecule: long non-coding RNA, 1315 nt
Organism: Pseudopipra pipra
Lineage: Eukaryota; Metazoa; Chordata; Aves; Passeriformes; Pipridae
Exons: 3
Source: RefSeq, a predicted model, not a curated record
UGCUUGAUAUUUGCUUACUUGUUUUCCUGUCAAGUGUCAUUAUGCCUAGUAUGAACUUAUUCUUAUUUCUUCACAGAACCAUUUAAAAAAAGACUACAGAGCAAGAUUCUGCCAUGGAGGAGGAAGUAAGAUUGAUGUACAGCCAGGUCAAAACGUACUGAAACUCAUAGAGGAUUGUUUUGAAAGUUGCAGCAGUGAUCUUACAGUAAACUCUCCAAAUGCAACCCUUUGCUCAGCUCCUGUUGUCAAAAAUAGGAAGAGGACUUCAAUGCAGAGCCAAAGCGUAAGUUAGUUAUGGCAAUGUCACAGUAUAGCUUUGGGUACAGUUUCACUGGGGUACAAAUUUAGUUCUGUAGGAUUUAGUUCUGUAUGAGCAUUGAAGAAGCUCCAUAUGCCACUUGUAACAGUUUAUAGGCUACAAUUUAACCAUCUGUAAUAGUUGUUGAUAAUGGGUUUUUUUCUUAGUUUGUUGUGCUCUAACAGUAAAUACUCUGUAAUUAGAUUUGUUUAAUAGCUUAUUUUCCAGGUUUUUUUCUAGUGAAAGCUUUUUCAGCUUUUUGUCCAGGACACUUAAAUUUUUUAUGGUCUCAGGUUGGAGCACGCUGCCUUGUUACUGCUGGUGGGUAUGGCUGUCUUGGACUCCAUUGGAGUUGGUUUUGGCCACUUUGCUAGAUAUAUGGACACAGUUCUUAGCUAAAUGGUGAACAGUAGAGUUGAAAGGUGAUGCUUGUACAAAAGCUUGUUAACUCCUGAUAGUUAUCUGUACAAUAACUUUAUAUAUAUGUAUCUUUCUUGAAGGGUGGAAACAAGUUGAAGGCCUUGUUAGUGUGCUGGGAAAAUGAUGCCAAUAAUCUAGUUUGUAUAUUUAAUUUUAAUGUUUUGAUUCUAUUUUUUUUAAAUAGGAUAUUCCGUUAAUGGCAGGGUUGAGAACAGGCAUCCUUUAUAGUGGUGUUUGUUUACUUUAGUUUGAUGUUAGAAUACCAUAUAAUGUCAAAUAAUUUCUUGCAAAACCUCAGCCUGUCUUAAGAAAGGUGAAUUAAAUUGUUUAAAAUAAUUCAUUCUAAUGAAAAGAAUAGCUUGCCUGGAGACUAGCAGGAUGCCUGUUUAAAGCUGCAUAUAGAUUUUUGCUGUACACACUGUUUUUCCUGUUAUUUGAAAUUUAUAGUUACUUCUGGAAAGUCUUACCUGAUAGAAAGUUGAAGUGUUUAGUUAAAAUAGAACUGUGAUUCACAUGAGUGUGAUUUAAGGGAAGGAAAGUAUAUCAUGUUCUGUAGAAAUUUGUAUUCCUAUCAAAAUACUGUUGCUUUAUCAACUA